RNAcentral lists this ribosomal RNA (518 nucleotides) under uncultured microorganism. RNAcentral's name for it is "bacterial SSU rRNA". It matches the Rfam family "Bacterial small subunit ribosomal RNA", at positions 9 to 521 of the family's 1533-position model. The record is from RNAcentral.
GAGUUUGAUCCUGGCUCAGAUUGAACGCUGGCGGCAGGCCUAACACAUGCAAGUCGAGCGGAUGAAGGGAGCUUGCUCCUGGAUUCAGCGGCGGACGGGUGAGUAAUGCCUAGGAAUCUGCCUGGUAGUGGGGAGUAACGUCCGGAAACGGGACGCUAAUACCGCAUACGUCCUGAGGGAGAAAGUGGGGAGUCUUCGGACCUCACGCUAUCAGAUGAGCCUAGGUCGGAUUAGCUAGUUGGUGGGGUAAAGGCCGUACCAAGGCGACGAUCCGUAACUGGUCUGAGAGGAUGAUCAGUCACACUGGAACUGAGACACGGUCCAGACUCCUACGAGAGGCAGCAGUGGGGAAUAUUGGACAAUGGGCGAAAGCCUGAUCCAGCCAUGCCGCGUGUGUGAAGAAGGUCUUCGGAUUGUAAAGCACUUUAAGUUGGGAGGAAGGGCAGUAAGUUAAUACCUUGCUGUUUUGACGUUACCAACAGAAUAAGCACGGCUAACUUCGUGCCAGCCGCCGCGGU